This is a long non-coding RNA of Oncorhynchus kisutch (coho salmon), 560 nucleotides long. RefSeq lists it as uncharacterized. NCBI's taxonomy places the organism in Eukaryota, Metazoa, Chordata, Actinopteri, Salmoniformes, Salmonidae. The transcript is spliced from 2 exons. The record is from RefSeq and is a predicted model, not a curated record.
GCGUGAAACCCACAACAGGAGACUAUCUCCAGCAAAGAUGGCUGACAGAAAUACCGGGACGGAAGCAAAUGGACUCCUGAAACAACCAGCAAACCAGACUGACGUCUUGUGAAACAGUAGAUGUUAAUAAUCUAGCUAGCUAAAGCAUUUACUGCAAAUUGAAUGUACCGUUUUGUAAGCUUGCCUUGCUGAUAUUUACAAUGCAGAUGAAGUAUCGUAGCUAGCUAUUUUCUUGCUUCUUGUGCAGUGCAGAAUAAAAAUAUCUGUAUGCCUAUAUAUGUGUAGCCGAUCUGUGUAUGAAGCCUAAAACGUUUGGUAUACAAAUUUGUUCAGAACCUAGCUAUGAACCUCAGCUAUCAUAGCCUGUUGUAUCUUCAAAACAGUCUGAAUGACAUUAAUGGACCCUAUGGAUUGAGUAGAAUAUAAUAUAACAUUGUGCAAAGGUUGCAAGUCGUAUAUACAUGUAGUUAUUGAAAUCCCACAUUGUAGCCUGUACAUUUAAUAUAUUCACUGAUCAUGUACUCCACUCACUCGCAAAUAAAAGGCGCAGUAUGAAUGUC